AGAAUGUUAACUAGGUCAAUCACACAGGCUCAGUGUGUGCGUGGCAUAUUUUAAGGGAGAGAGAGGAAUGCCCUCCUAACUCACGACAGACCUGUCCCAAAGUAGCCUCUCUGUUCCUAGCAGAACGGCUUCU
RNAcentral lists this small nucleolar RNA (133 nucleotides) under Castor canadensis (American beaver). RNAcentral describes it as "Small nucleolar RNA SNORA64/SNORA10 family (ENSCCNG00000022234.1)". It matches the Rfam family "Small nucleolar RNA SNORA64/SNORA10 family". Rfam says of the family: This family belongs to the H/ACA class of small nucleolar RNAs (snoRNAs) which act as guides in the the modification of uridines to pseudouridines. Lineage: Eukaryota; Metazoa; Chordata; Mammalia; Rodentia; Castoridae. The record is from Rfam by way of RNAcentral.